This 231-nucleotide ribosomal RNA is filed under the name uncultured bacterium. RNAcentral's name for it is "partial 16S ribosomal RNA". It matches the Rfam family "Bacterial small subunit ribosomal RNA", at positions 15 to 240 of the family's 1533-position model. The record is from RNAcentral.
GAUCAUGGCUCAGGACGAACGCUGGCGGCGCGCCUAACACAUGCAAGUCGAACGAGAGAUGAGGAGCUUGCUCUUCAAAUCGAGUGGCGAACGGGUGAGUAACGCGUGAGGGACCUGCCUCAAAGAGGGGGACGAACAGUUGGAAACGACUGCUAAUACCGCAUAAGCCCACGGCUCGGCAUCGAGCAGAGGGAAAAGGAGUGAUCCGCUUUGAGAUGGCCUCGCGUCCGA